UUAAACUUCUCGAAUUUAUUUAAUGAAAAGAUGGUGUGUUUUGAACCGGAGACAAUACAGAAUAUCACAGCAUGAAAACACAGAAAACAAGUUUAAUGAUAAACGAAAUUGACCAGCAGGUGCUGAGGUUAAAUAUGGGA
Sphaeramia orbicularis (orbiculate cardinalfish) is the source of this 140-nucleotide long non-coding RNA. RefSeq lists it as uncharacterized. The transcript has 3 exons. The record is from RefSeq and is a predicted model, not a curated record. NCBI's taxonomy places the organism in Eukaryota, Metazoa, Chordata, Actinopteri, Kurtiformes, Apogonidae.